UUAAGCAUAUCAAUAAGCGGAGGAAAAGAAACUAACAAGGAUUCCCCUAGUAACGGCGAGUGAACCGGGAAGAGCUCAAAUUUGUAAUCUGGCGUGCUCCGUGCGUCCGAGUUGUAAUCUACAGAAGCGUUUUCUGUGCCGGACUGUGUCCAAGUCCCUUGGAACAGGGUAUCAAAGAGGGUGACAAUCCCGUGCUUGACACAACGACCGGUGCUUUGUGAUACGUUUUCUACGAGUCGAGUUGUUUGGGAAUGCAGCUCAAAAUGGGUGGUAAAUUCCAUCUAAAGCUAAAUAUUGGCGAGAGACCGAUAGCGAACAAGUACCGUGAGGGAAAGAUGAAAAGCACUUUGGAAAGAGAGUUAAACAGUACGUGAAAUUGUUGAAAGGGAAACGAUUGAAGUCAGUCGUGUCUAUUGGAUUCAGCCGGUUCUGCCGGUCUACUUCCUUUGGACGGGUCAACAUCAGUUAAAGUCGGUGGAAAAGGGCUGGAGGAAGGUAGCUCUCACGAGUGUUAUAGCCUCCUGUCGCAUACACUGGCCUUGACUGAGGAAUGCAGCUCGCCGCAAGGCAGGGGUUCGCCCACUUUCCGAGCUAGGAUGUUGACAUAAUGGCUUUAAACGACCCGU
This 626-nucleotide ribosomal RNA is filed under the name Sirobasidium magnum. RNAcentral describes it as "LSU rRNA". It matches the Rfam family "Eukaryotic large subunit ribosomal RNA", at positions 34 to 652 of the family's 3401-position model. The record is from RNAcentral. Lineage: Eukaryota; Fungi; Basidiomycota; Tremellomycetes; Tremellales; Sirobasidiaceae.